Molecule: unclassified non-coding RNA, 295 nt
Filed under: fungal sp.
Lineage: Eukaryota; Fungi
Also listed under: 1 other name
Description: partial contains small subunit ribosomal RNA, internal transcribed spacer 1, and 5.8S ribosomal RNA
Rfam family: Eukaryotic small subunit ribosomal RNA (bases 1-46)
Source: RNAcentral
AAGUCGUAACAAGGUUUCCGUAGGUGAACCUGCGGAAGGAUCAUUAUCGAUUCAAACUAAUGAGGGGGAGGGUUGUCCGUAGUUGUGCUGGCUUUUAACCAAGGCAAUGUGCACGCUUGGAUUUUCCCUCUUUCUUCAUUUUACACACCUGUGAACCUGUAGUAGGGCAUCUCGCAAGAGAUGCUCUAUGUCUUCUCACAUACUCCAUCACUAGUUUAUAGAAUGUACCCUUUUGCUCUCGUCAGAGACAAAAAGAAAGCUUUUAUAACUUUCAGCAACGGAUCUCUUGGCUCUC